Molecule: ribosomal RNA, 492 nt
Filed under: uncultured bacterium
Lineage: Bacteria
Description: partial 16S ribosomal RNA
Rfam family: Bacterial small subunit ribosomal RNA
Source: RNAcentral
AGUGAACGCUGGCGGUAGGCCUAACACAUGCAAGUCGAACGGCAGCACAGUAAGAGCUUGCUCUUACGGGUGGCGAGUGGCGGACGGGUGAGGAAUACAUCGGAAUCUACUUUUUCGUGGGGGAUAACGUAGGGAAACUUACGCUAAUACCGCAUACGACCUACGGGUGAAAGCAGGGGAUCUUCGGACCUUGCGCGAUUGAAUGAGCCGAUGUCGGAUUAGCUAGUUGGCGGGGUAAAGGCCCACCAAGGCGACGAUCCGUAGCUGGUCUGAGAGGAUGAUCAGCCACACUGGAACUGAGACACGGUCCAGACUCCUACGGGAGGCAGCAAUGGGGAAUAUUGGACAAUGGGCGCAAGCCUGAUCCAGCCAUACCGCGUGGGUGGAGAAGGCCUUCGGGUUGUAAAGCCCUUUUGUUGGGAAAGAAAAGCAGCAGGUUAAUACCCCGCUGUUCUGACGGUACCCAAAGAAUAAGCACCGGCUAACUUCGUG